This 468-nucleotide ribosomal RNA is filed under the name uncultured bacterium. RNAcentral describes it as "partial 16S ribosomal RNA". It matches the Rfam family "Bacterial small subunit ribosomal RNA", at positions 28 to 507 of the family's 1533-position model. The record is from RNAcentral.
GACGAACGCUGGCGGCGUGCUUAACACAUGCAAGUCGAACGGAAAGGCCCUGCUUUUGUGGGGUGCUCGAGUGGCGAACGGGUGAGUAACACGUGAGUAACCUGCCCUUGACUUUGGGAUAACUUCAGGAAACUGGGGCUAAUACCGGAUAGGAGCUCCUGCUGCAUGGUGGGGGUUGGAAAGUUUCGGCGGUUGGGGAUGGACUCGCGGCUUAUCAGCUUGUUGGUGGGGUAGUGGCUUACCAAGGCUUUGACGGGUAGCCGGCCUGAGAGGGUGACCGGCAAGAUUGGGGUUGAGAUGCGGCCGGGGCGGCUGCGGGAGGGAGAAGUGCGGGGUGUGGGACGAGGGGCGGCAGCUUGAUGCAGCAACGCGGCGUGCGGGAUGAGGGCGGGCGGGUAGUAACCAGCGUACACCUGUGACGAAGCGUGAGGGAAGGUAAUGGGUAAGGACGGACGGGCUCACGACUUG